AAAAACAAAAAAAAAGAAAGAAAAAGAAAACAAAAAAAAAGAGAGACUAUCAAUGAUGUCAUUUGCUGACAAUCCCUUGUGUUUCAUCGUUCUGUUGUCUUUUUUAUUAUCAAGUUUAAUGUUUUUAUGUCUUUUCAGAAUUGUCAGUGUGUUAAUACCUGAAUUUGCAUGAUGAAAAUCUCUUAGACUUGCACAUAAAAGAAUAACAGACGUGUGACUGCUCAUGAAGUGCAAUGGUUCAAGAGACAAAGAGACGAAUUGGAAAGAUGGAGUUUUGCACAGUGUACUAGUUCAAUCUUCAGAUACCUCAGCUGGUGAGCAUAUUGAGCCAAAUAAAUUCCAUGGUAUACCCUUUUCUUUCACAGCUUAUGAGUGUAUCCAUGCUUUGUAUAUUUUCUAGAACUUGCGACUAUUCUCUACUGUUGAUUGGU
RNAcentral lists this long non-coding RNA (431 nucleotides) under Trifolium pratense (red clover). RNAcentral's name for it is "long non-coding RNA (TPRA_LNC011139)". The record is from RNAcentral. Lineage: Eukaryota; Viridiplantae; Streptophyta; Magnoliopsida; Fabales; Fabaceae.